Molecule: ribosomal RNA, 432 nt
Filed under: uncultured bacterium
Lineage: Bacteria
Description: partial 16S ribosomal RNA
Rfam family: Bacterial small subunit ribosomal RNA
Source: RNAcentral
GAUGAACGCUGGCGGUAUGCUUAACACAUGCAAGUCGAACGGUCACUUCGGUGGUAGUGGCGGACGGGUGAGUAACGCGUGAGAAUCUGUCUUCAGGUCGGGGACAACAGUUAGAAAUGACUGCUAAUACCGGAUGUGCCUUUGGGUGAAAGAUUUAUUGCCUGAAAAAGAGCUCGCGUCAGAUUAGCUAGUAGGUGGUGUAAGAGACUACCUAGGCUCCGAUCUGUAGCUGGUCUGAGAGGACGAUCAGCCACACUGGAACUGAGACACGGUCCAGACUCCUACGGGAGGCAGCAGUGGGGAAUUUUCCGCAAUGGGCGAAAGCCUGACGGAGCAAUACCGCGUGAGGGACGAAGGCUUUUGGGUCGUAAACCUCUUUUCUCAAGGAAGAUGAUGACGGUACUUGAGGAAUAAGCAUCGGCUAACUCUGUG